AGGCUGCAUGUGAAGACUGAUAAUGUCACAGCUGUGCAACCAGGAUUUCAGAGGCGAAUUCAGUCAUGGUCAACUAUAGUGCGUCUGAGCAACGUGGAACCCAAUGGACGGAUCCUUCUCAAGCCGACCAGCGAAAGCAAAAGCAACAGAAAUGGGGAUCCAUGCACAAGUCAACAGCAUCACCUGCUGUCCAUCAGAGGCCACUGCGUCCAUCCAGGUCCAGGUUCACACAGACUCGGUGGUGCUGAGCUGUUAAUAAGAAGCAGAGGAGAAGAUGAGAUGAAGAUGUGCAGACUUUAGUCUCCACUCUGCUGGGGAACUGGCAGGCGCUGCAUGUGCUGAGGAUCUGGCACAGAACAUGGUGACCAGGUUUUGGAUUCCACGAGGACUUCUGGUCUUGUCAAGAUCAGUGUUUAUGCCCGAAAAACUCCUAACAAGG
Solea solea (common sole) is the source of this 439-nucleotide long non-coding RNA. RefSeq lists it as uncharacterized. NCBI's taxonomy places the organism in Eukaryota, Metazoa, Chordata, Actinopteri, Pleuronectiformes, Soleidae. The transcript has 3 exons. The record is from RefSeq and is a predicted model, not a curated record.